GUAGGAGCAGAACAGCAGGAGCUAGAAUACAGUGAGGACUGUCCCCUCCAGGGAAAACCAUCUCCAGUCAUCAAUAUCAGACGGCCAGCACACCCAUCAUCAAGGCAAACUUCUGUUGGUGAAGACCAGAGAUUUUGGUCUAAGCAAGUUGGCCGCCUGAGAUGAGAAUACACUAAGAUGAGGAAGAUGCUGCUGUAAUCAAGGCAAUACGGAACCAGAUAUGCAGUGACCACAAGCUGGGCUACGGACGUCCUUCCCCACUAGUGAAUAUUCAGUCUCUUUGGAAAGAAGUGGUUCCUCCUCUGCGGAGGAAAGUCUCACAACACAGGUCUUUGUCUUUCUGAUGGAAUAUGUUCCAAGGAAAGUCUUCCCCAACUCCAGCUGAUUCUGGAGGCUCCCAGAUGCUUCCUUCACUUUGUGCAGUGCAAUGGCCAUGGAGAAGACCUGCACUGGAGAAGUUUUGGAGUCCAGCUAUACCUGUGGAAAUCAGCUUCAGAUCAUCUGGGAUCUCCACAGAUGUCCUGUUCCUUUCCACCCAUCCUCUUAAGCCUUCCUUGACAAGGCUCCCAUCACAGCGUGGACUAAAGCUGAGCUCAUUAGCACAAAGAGGAAGCAAGUUCAUUAGCUCACGUUUAGCUUGAUGGAAACCACAGCUUUGGGUCUGUGAGCACAGAGCUUGUGUGACACCACAGCCACAUGCCUGUGCUCCAUCUUCCUGCCCUAUAAAGCACCGAUUGUCACAUCUGGAGCUCCCCGCUCCGGCAGCCUUUACUACAUUCUUCAUUUUGAUGCCACGUUCCAGGCUUUAAAUUGCUGAGUCCCCUAUUGCUCAUUAGCAGGCGCAGAGAAAUGGCUUUUAUAGACCCAUGUAUUAAACAAAUAAAAGACGUCAAGGAAACUUAAAAACA
This 908-nucleotide long non-coding RNA is filed under the name Anas platyrhynchos platyrhynchos (common mallard). Its description in RNAcentral is "lncRNA (ENSAPLG00000018237.1)". The record is from RNAcentral. Lineage: Eukaryota; Metazoa; Chordata; Aves; Anseriformes; Anatidae.